Molecule: ribosomal RNA, 406 nt
Filed under: uncultured bacterium
Lineage: Bacteria
Description: partial 16S ribosomal RNA
Rfam family: Bacterial small subunit ribosomal RNA
Source: RNAcentral
AUUGAACGCUGGCGGCAGGCCUAACACAUGCAAGUCGAACGAGUGGCGGACGGGUGAGUAAUGUCUGGGAAACUGCCUGAUGGAGGGGGAUAACUACUGGAAACGGUAGCUAAUACCGCAUACCAUCAGAUGUGCCCAGAUGGGAUUUGCUUGUUGGUGGGGUAACGGCUCACCAAGGCGACGAUCCCUUGCUGGUCUGAGAGGAUGACCGGCAAAACUGGAAUGGAGACACGGGCCAGAGUCACACGGUAGGCAGCAGUGGGGAAUAUUGAACACUGGGCGAAAGCCUGAUGCGGCGAUGCCGCUUGUAUCAAGAAGGCAGUCGGUAUGUAAAGUACUUUCAGCGGGGUGGCGUUACCAGCAGAAGAAGCACCCGCUGAGUCCGUGCCAGCAGCCGCGGUAAUAC